RNAcentral lists this unclassified non-coding RNA (316 nucleotides) under Hevea brasiliensis (rubber tree). Lineage: Eukaryota; Viridiplantae; Streptophyta; Magnoliopsida; Malpighiales; Euphorbiaceae. The record is from RNAcentral.
GAAAUUUCUGGUUGAGAAAAACAGCAACAAUGCUCUUCAUGGUCAAGUGACAAUCGGAACAUUGAUUUUUCAGGACUGUGCUGUUGGUUUAUUAUUCGCUUUGCUUCCUGUUCUCGGAGGUAACAGUGGGCUUUUGCAUGGAAUUAUCUCUAUGGGGAAAGUGCUGCUGAUCUUAUCCAUGUACCUCAGUGUUGCAUCAAUUUUAACUUGGUCAUUUGUUCCUCGUUUUCUGAAGUUAAUGAUUCGGUUAUCUUCUCAAACCAAUGAAUUGUAUCAGCUUGCGGUGGUGGCAUUCUGCUUAUUAUCUGCUUGGUGC